Molecule: ribosomal RNA, 497 nt
Filed under: uncultured bacterium
Lineage: Bacteria
Description: partial 16S ribosomal RNA
Rfam family: Bacterial small subunit ribosomal RNA
Source: RNAcentral
GACGAACGCUGGCGGCGUGCCUAAUACAUGCAAGUCGAACGCUGAAGAGAGGAGCUUGCUCUUCUUGGAUGAGUUGCGAACGGGUGAGUAACGCGUAGGUAACCUGCCUUGUAGCGGGGGAUAACUAUUGGAAACGAUAGCUAAUACCGCAUAACAAUGUAUGACACAUGUCAUUUAUUUGAAAGGGGCAAUUGCUCCACUACAAGAUGGACCUGCGUUGUAUUAGCUAGUAGGUGAGGUAACGGCUCACCUAGGCGACGAUACAUAGCCGACCUGAGAGGGUGAUCGGCCACACUGGGACUGAGACACGGCCCAGACUCCUACGGGAGGCAGCAGUAGGGAAUCUUCGGCAAUGGGGGCAAACCUGACCGAGCAACGCCGCGUGAGUGAAGAAGGUUUUCGGAUCGUAAAGCUCUGUUGUAAGUCAAGAACGAGUGUGAGAGUGGAAAGUUCACACUGUGACGGUAGCUUACCAGAAAGGGACGGCUAACUACGUG